This 253-nucleotide ribosomal RNA is filed under the name uncultured bacterium. Its description in RNAcentral is "partial 16S ribosomal RNA". It matches the Rfam family "Bacterial small subunit ribosomal RNA", at positions 524 to 776 of the family's 1533-position model. The record is from RNAcentral.
GACGAACCUUGCUAACGUUAUUCGGAAUUACUGGGCUUAAAGGGUGCGUAGGCGGUGCGGAAAGUCGGGUGUGAAAUCCCCCAGCUCAACUGGGGAAUUGCGCCUGAAACUACCGUGCUCGAGGAAGACAGAGGUACGCGGAACUUAGGGUGGAGCGGUGAAAUGCGUUGAUAUCCUAAGGAACACCGGUGGCGAAAGCGGCGUGCUGGACCUUUACUGACGCUGAUGCGCGAAAGCCAGGGGAGCGAACGGG